This 489-nucleotide ribosomal RNA is filed under the name uncultured bacterium. Its description in RNAcentral is "partial 16S ribosomal RNA". It matches the Rfam family "Bacterial small subunit ribosomal RNA", at positions 28 to 506 of the family's 1533-position model. The record is from RNAcentral.
GAUGAACGCUAGCUACAGGCUUAACACAUGCAAGUCGCGGGGCAGCAUGGGGGUUGCUUGCAAUCCCCGAUGGCGACCGGCGCACGGGUGAGUAACGCGUAUCCAACCUGCCCUUCACCACGGGAUAACCCGGCGAAAGUCGGACUAAUACCGUAUGUUGUCCAUUGACGGCAUCCGAUUUGGACGAAAGGUUUGGCGGUGAAGGAUGGGGAUGCGUUCGAUUAGCUGGACGGCGGGGUGACGGCCCACCGUGGCGACGAUCGGUAGGGGUUCUGAGAGGAAGGUCCCCCACACUGGAACUGAGACACGGUCCAGACUCCUACGGGAGGCAGCAGUGAGGAAUAUUGGUCAAUGGGCGUAAGCCUGAACCAGCCAAGUAGCGUGCAGGAUGACGGCCCUAUGGGUUGUAAACUGCUUUUAUGCGGGGAUAAAGUGGCCCACGUGUGGGUUUUUGCAGGUACCGCAUGAAUAAGGACCGGCUAAUUCCGU